Molecule: ribosomal RNA, 451 nt
Filed under: uncultured soil bacterium
Lineage: Bacteria
Description: partial 16S ribosomal RNA
Source: RNAcentral
GGAAUUCGAUUCGGGUGUGACAAGGCCCGGGAACGUAUUCACGGCGGCAUGCUGAUCCGCCAUUACUAGCGAUUCCGACUUCAUGUAGUCGAGUUGCAGACUACAAUCCGAACUGAGACCGGCUUUUUGGGAUUCGCUCCACCUCGCGGUAUUGCACCCCUUUGUACCGGCCAUUGUAGCACGUGUGUAGCCCUGGACAUAAAGGCCAUGAGGACUUGACGUCAUCCCCACCUUCCUCCCCGUUUUCCGGGGCAGUCCCUGUAGAGUUCCCGGCAUAACCCGCUGGCAACUACAGGCAAGGGCUGCGCUCGUUGCGGGACUUAACCCAACAUCUCACGACACGAGCUGACGACAGCCAUGCACCACCUGUACAGGGCCCUUACGGACACCGUAUCUCUACGGCUUUUCCCUACAUGUCAAACCCAGGUAAGGUUCUUCGCGUUAAUCACUA